UACGAAGGGGGCUAGCGUUGCUCGGAAUCACUGGGCGUAAAGCGCACGUAGGCGGAUUGUUAAGUCAGGGGUGAAAUCCUGGAGCUCAACUCCAGAACUGCCUUUGAUACUGGCGAUCUUGAGUCCGGGAGAGGUGAGUGGAACUGCGAGUGUAGAGGUGAAAUUCGUAGAUAUUCGCAAGAACACCAGUGGCGAAGGCGGCUCACUGGCCCGGUACUGACGCUGAUGUGCGAAAGCGUGGGGAGCAAACAGG
Molecule: ribosomal RNA, 253 nt
Filed under: uncultured bacterium
Lineage: Bacteria
Description: partial 16S ribosomal RNA
Rfam family: Bacterial small subunit ribosomal RNA
Source: RNAcentral